RNAcentral lists this long non-coding RNA (223 nucleotides) under Lathyrus oleraceus (garden pea). Its description in RNAcentral is "Pisum sativum (pea) long non-coding RNA (PSAT_LNC038538)". The record is from RNAcentral. Lineage: Eukaryota; Viridiplantae; Streptophyta; Magnoliopsida; Fabales; Fabaceae.
UUCCCCAAGCAUGGAGAGAACUUUGGUUAAUGAACUUAGAGACUCAUUAGGACCCUUUACAAAAAAGGACCUUGGACAAAUGUGACCUAACAUAGAAGAAGCGUGCAAGAAUCAAGAAGAAUUUGUAAUCUGUCAAUUGUAAUCUUUUACAUGCUUUCCAAUUUAGAACACGAUUGCACACACAUGGCUUUAUCUUGGGCUACCUGACAAUGAGACCUUUUAC